This 231-nucleotide ribosomal RNA is filed under the name uncultured bacterium. Its description in RNAcentral is "partial 16S ribosomal RNA". It matches the Rfam family "Bacterial small subunit ribosomal RNA", at positions 118 to 351 of the family's 1533-position model. The record is from RNAcentral.
UGAGUAACCUGCCCUCCACUCUGGGAUAAGCCCGGGAAACUGGGUCUAAUACCGGAUAUGACCUCCUGUCUCAUGGCGGGUGGUGGAAAGUUUUUCGGUGGGGGAUGGACUCGCGGCCUAUCAGCUUGUUGGUGAGGUAAUGGCUUACCAAGGCGACGACGGGUAGCCGGCCUGAGAGGGCGACCGGCCACACUGGGACUGAGACACGGCCCAGACUCCUACGGGAGGCAG